This 343-nucleotide unclassified non-coding RNA is filed under the name soil metagenome. Its description in RNAcentral is "partial contains 5.8S ribosomal RNA, internal transcribed spacer 2, and large subunit ribosomal RNA". The stretch from base 1 to 120 matches the Rfam family "5.8S ribosomal RNA", at positions 35 to 154 of the family's 154-position model. The record is from RNAcentral.
GAUGAAGAACGUAGCGAAACGCGAUAAGUAAUGUGAAUUGCAGAAUCCAGUGAAUCAUCGAAUCUUUGAACGCACAUUGCGCCCGCCAGCAUUCUGGCGGGCAUGCCUGUUCGAGCGUCAUUUCAACCCUCGACCUCCCCUUGGGGAGGUCGGCGUUGGGGACCGGCAGCACACCGCCGGCCCUGAAAUGGAGUGGCGGCCCGUCCGCGGCGACCUCUGCGCAGUAAUACAGCGCGCACCGGGACCCCGACGCGGCCACGCCGUAAAACACCCAACUUCUGAACGUUGACCUCGAAUCAGGUAGGACUACCCGCUGAACUUAAGCAUAUCAAUAAGCGGAGGA